RNAcentral lists this long non-coding RNA (731 nucleotides) under Aquilegia coerulea. RNAcentral describes it as "long non-coding RNA (ACOE_LNC000831)". Lineage: Eukaryota; Viridiplantae; Streptophyta; Magnoliopsida; Ranunculales; Ranunculaceae. The record is from RNAcentral.
GAAAAUGUAUUUUCCAGCUUGCACUCUGGCAUCACUGUUGUACCUGCGCCUCUGUCCCAUAGUGAUGAUGCAAAGGUCUCUCUUGAAGAUGUCUUUUCCAGCUGUCGCUCUCGCAACACUGCUGUAUCGGCGCCUCUGUCCCAUAGUGGUGAUGCACAGGUGUCUCUUGAAAAUGUUUUUUCCAGCUCGCACUCUAGUAUCACAGUUGUACCUGUGCCUCUGUCUCAUAGUGGCGAUGACAAGGUCUCUCUAGAAAAUGUGUUCUCUAGCUCUCACUCUGGCAUCACUGCUGUACCUGCGCCUCUGUCCCAUAGUGGCGAUGCAGAGGGAUCUCUUGAAAAUGCCUUUUCCAGCUCGCACUCUAGCAUCACUGUUGCACCUGCGCCUCUGUCCCCUAGUGGCGAUGCAAAGGUCUCUCUUGAAAAUGUCUUUUCCAGCUCUCACUCUGCCGUCACUGCUGUACCUGCGCCUCUGUCCCAUAGUGGCGCUGCACAGGUCACUCUUGAAAAUGCCAUUUCCAGCUCAGACUCUGGCAUCACUGUUAUACCUGCACCUCUGUCCCAUAGUGGUGUUGCACAGGUCCCUCAUGAAAAUGGUGUUUCCAUCUCGCACUCUAGCAUCACUGUUGUACCUGCGCCUCUGUCCCAUAGCGGCAAUGCACAGGGAUCUCUUGAAAAUGUCUCCAGCUCACUCUCUGGCGUCACUGUUGAUUUUCAACGGAAACUGACUUG